Molecule: ribosomal RNA, 23 nt
Filed under: Goodenia nuda
Lineage: Eukaryota; Viridiplantae; Streptophyta; Magnoliopsida; Asterales; Goodeniaceae
Also listed under: 1 other name
Description: partial 25S large subunit ribosomal RNA
Source: RNAcentral
GCGACCCCAGGUCAGCGGGACUA